This 253-nucleotide ribosomal RNA is filed under the name uncultured bacterium. RNAcentral's name for it is "partial 16S ribosomal RNA". It matches the Rfam family "Bacterial small subunit ribosomal RNA", at positions 524 to 776 of the family's 1533-position model. The record is from RNAcentral.
UACGGAGGGUGCAAGCGUUAUCCGGAUUCACUGGGUUUAAAGCGCGCGUAGGCGGCCCGGUAAGUCCGUUGUGAAAGUCAAAGGCUCAACCUUUGAAUGCCGAUGGAUACUGUCGGGCUAGAGUGCGGAAGAGGCGAGUGGAAUUCCUGGUGUAGCGGUGAAAUGCGCAGAUAUCAGGAGGAACACCAAUUGCGAAGGCAGCUCGCUGGGACGUGACUGACGCUGAGACGCGAAAGCGUGGGGAGCAAACAGG